AGAAGAGCAACAAAUGACACCAGAGGAUUAUGACGAUGCAAACACUGCUGGUUGGAGACAUUGUGCUAAAGAUGACUUACAAGAAAACUAUGAUGUUGUCACUGUACCACAGUUCUCCAAUGAUAAAGCAGACUAUAAUGAUGUGGGGGAAGAGCCAGGAAAACAGCGAAGGACUGUGUAACUGAAAC
Molecule: long non-coding RNA, 188 nt
Organism: Sinocyclocheilus grahami
Lineage: Eukaryota; Metazoa; Chordata; Actinopteri; Cypriniformes; Cyprinidae
Exons: 3
Source: RefSeq, a predicted model, not a curated record